Papaver somniferum (opium poppy) is the source of this 275-nucleotide long non-coding RNA. RefSeq lists it as uncharacterized. NCBI's taxonomy places the organism in Eukaryota, Viridiplantae, Streptophyta, Magnoliopsida, Ranunculales, Papaveraceae. The transcript has 3 exons. The record is from RefSeq and is a predicted model, not a curated record.
GAAGAAAAUUAGAAGAACAAUUCCGGUGCGAGUAGCGGCUUAAAGGAUUUUCUUCAUCUCCCACCAAACCUUCAUAGCGAGUAGCGGCUUAAAGGAUUCACUGCAAUCACCGAAGUGCCAACUUUGUCAGUGAUGGAAAUAUGGCGUCAUUUCACUCGGAGAAAUGUUGAAGAACCCUCUUGCAAUUACUGUGGAAGGACUUAUAGGGCUAACAUGUCCAGAAAUGGAACUUCUGCCUUGUGGAAUGCUUAGAAGUUGCAAUAAUGCUUAGAAGU